Molecule: ribosomal RNA, 448 nt
Filed under: uncultured bacterium
Lineage: Bacteria
Description: bacterial SSU rRNA
Rfam family: Bacterial small subunit ribosomal RNA
Source: RNAcentral
ACGAACGCUGGCGGCGUGCUUAACACAUGCAAGUCGAACGAGACCUUCGGGUCGAGUGGCGGACGGGUGAGUAACACGUAGGUAAUCUGCCUCUCAAUGGGGGAUACCCGGUCGAAAGAUCGGCUAAUACCGCAUACGCUCUGCAGCUGUGAUGCUGUAGAGGAAAGAUUUAUCGUUGAGAGAUGAGCCUGCGUCCGAUUAGCUAGUUGGUAGUGUAAUGGACUACCAAGGCGACGAUCGGUAGCUGGUCUGAGAGGACGAUCAGCCACACUGGAACUGAGACACGGUCCAGACUCCUACGGGAGGCAGCAGUGGGGAAUUUUCCGCAAUGGGCGAAAGCCUGACGGAGCAACGCCGCGUGAAUGAAGAAGUCCUUCGGGAUGUAAAGUUCUUUCAGCAGGGACGAGUCGAAGACGGUACCUGCAGAAGAAGCAUCGGCUAACUACGU